Molecule: ribosomal RNA, 261 nt
Filed under: uncultured prokaryote
Description: partial 16S ribosomal RNA
Rfam family: Bacterial small subunit ribosomal RNA
Source: RNAcentral
UACGUAGGUGGCGAGCGUUAUCCGGAAUUAUUGGGCGUAAAGAGCGCGCAGGUGGUUCAUUAAGUCUGAUGUGAAAGCCCACGGCUUAACCGUGGAGGGUCAUUGGAAACUGGUCGACUUGAGUGCAGAAGAGGGAAGUGGAAUUCCAUGUGUAGCGGUGAAAUGCGUAGAGAUAUGGAGGAACACCAGUGGCGAAGGCGGCUUCCUGGUCUGUAACUGACACUGAGGCGCGAAAGCGUGGGGAGCAAACAGGAUUAGAUA